RNAcentral lists this long non-coding RNA (999 nucleotides) under Pan paniscus (pygmy chimpanzee). Its description in RNAcentral is "lncRNA (ENSPPAG00000045143.1)". Lineage: Eukaryota; Metazoa; Chordata; Mammalia; Primates; Hominidae. The record is from RNAcentral.
UGUAUGAGAAGCUUUAUUAUUCUAACAGAUUUUGUUUACAAGCAGAAAAUAUUGGUAAAUCUCAUAUAACAUAAGGAUGUAUCAAUAGUUCCAUAUGCUAUGCUUUAAUAGAGUUCUGUAAGGUUUCUAAAGAUGACUUAAGUCAGCGUCACUGAAAAUAAAGAGUCAGAAAUAACCUAAAAAAUGAGUGAUUCCAUAGAACAAAUAUAUUCAUUUUACAGAUGGGGAACUGUGACAUGAAGAAGUUAACUUACCUAAGAUCAGAGAAUGAGUCAAGGACAGAACAGGACCAUGUCAUCAAAUUUAGAGAAACUUGAACUAUGCAGAAAAGAGAUGGGAUUCUUCUGUGGCUGUGCUGCUCACUCAAGGGAGUCUGAACCAUUUUGACCAGGAAAAGUCAAAAGGAAAGGCCUCUGCCAAGGGCAGACCACACAUUGCCCGAAGUCAUUGUUCUCCAUUCCAGCCCCAAGAACUCUGCGAGAUCAAUGAAAGCAUACAUUGAGAAAUAAAAGUCAUGAGAAAAUUUUACAAAUUAGCUAGCUUUCAUUUCCUGUUGGCUUUUCCAGCACAUGCUUGGCACCAGAUGAGAGUAAUGUGGUAAUGCAGUAAAAUAUCCCUGUGAGACACUAUCUGCUUAGAGACAGGAGGCAGUGAGAUGCUUUAGCCCUUGAUGUCCUAAGGGCCUGUCUGGACAUCGUGAGGUUUUCUCAGAAGCCAAUGUAAUAGACUUUUUGUCAUAUCAAGUUUGUUUUUUAGGGAAUUUCAAGGCAUCAACAUUAUCUAUAUUUCCACUGCUGGCUCUGAUUUGGAAAUGCCAGUAAAGUUGGUGUGCUUUAUAUUUACUUGAUCUCUAAAAAAAUGUGUGAGCUCAAUCUUGUCUUGUCCUAACUGGCAUAAUUAUUCAUCACGGAUGCGUUUCAUGGGAUUAGAACCAGUAACAGGAAGUCACAGUGUGCCCUAUUUUAACAAAAACAAAUGUCUAGGCCCUGAACAUGGAAA